Molecule: ribosomal RNA, 1259 nt
Filed under: metagenome
Description: bacterial LSU rRNA
Rfam family: Bacterial large subunit ribosomal RNA
Source: RNAcentral
AGUAUUCUCAGGCGCUUGAGAGAACUCGGGAGAAGGAACUCGGCAAAUUGACACCGUAACUUCGGAAGAAGGUGUGCCUUUAGUAGGUGAACCCGUACAGGGGGAGCCCAAUGAGGUUGCAAAGAAUCGGUGGCUGCGACUGUUUAAUAAAAACACAGCACUCUGCAAACACGAAAGUGGACGUAUAGGGUGUGACGCCUGCCCGGUGCUGGAAGAUUAAGUGAUGGGGUGCAAGCUCUUGAUCGAAGUCCCAGUAAACGGCGGCCGUAACUAUAACGGUCCUAAGGUAGCGAAAUUCCUUGUCGGGUAAGUUCCGACCUGCACGAAUGGCGUAACGAUGGCCACACUGUCUCCUCCCGAGACUCAGCGAAGUUGAAAUGUUUGUGAUGAUGCAAUCUCCCCGCGGAAAGACGGAAAGACCCCAUGAACCUUUACUGUAGCUUUGUAUUGGACUUUGAACGGAUCUGUGUAGGAUAGGUGGGAGGCUUUGAAGCAGGGUCGCUAGAUCUUGUGGAGCCAACGUUGAAAUACCACCCUGGUGCGUUUGAGGUUCUAACCCAGGCCCGUUAUCCGGGUCGGGGACAGUGCAUGGUAGGCAGUUUGACUGGGGCGGUCUCCUCCCAAAGCGUAACGGAGGAGUUCGAAGGUACGCUAGUUACGGUCGGACAUCGUGACGAUAGUGCAAUGGCAUAAGCGUGCUUAACUGCGAGACCGACAAGUCGAGCAGAUGCGAAAGCAGGACAUAGUGAUCCGGUGGUUCUGUAUGGAAGGGCCAUCACUCAACGGAUAAAAGGUACUCUGGGGAUAACAGGCUGAUACCGCCCAAGAGUUCAUAUCGACGGCGGUGUUUGGCACCUCGAUGUCGGCUCAUCUCAUCCUGGGGCUGUAGCCGGUCCCAAGGGUAUGGCUGUUCGCCAUUUAAAGAGGUACGUGAGCUGGGUUUAAAACGUCGUGAGACAGUUUGGUCCCUAUCUUCCGUGGGCGCUGCAGAUUUGAGGAAGCCUGCUCCUAGUACGAGAGGACCGGAGUGGACGCACCUCUGGUGUACCUGUUGUCACGCCAGUGGCAUUGCAGGGUAGCUAAGUGCGGAAGAGAUAACCGCUGAAAGCAUCUAAGCGGGAAACUCGUUUCAAGAUGAGAUCUGCCGGGGCCUUGAGCCCCCUGAAGAGUCGUUCUAGACCAGGACGUUGAUAGGCUGGGUGUGGAAGCGCAGUAAUGCGUUAAGCUAACCAGUACUAAUUGCUCGUGCGGCUUGACCC